AUUGAACGCUGGCGGCAGGCCUAACACAUGCAAGUCGAGCGGAUGAAGGGAGCUUGCUCCUGGAUUCAGCGGCGGCCGGGUGAGUAAUGCCUAGGAAUCUGCCUGGUAGUGGGGGAUAACGUCCGGUAACGGGCGCUAAUACCGCAUACGUCCUGAGGGAGAAAGUGGGGGCUCUUCAGACCUCACGCUAUCAGAUGAGCCUAGGUCGGAUUAGCUAGUUGGUGGGGUAAAGGCCUACCAAGGCGACGAUCCGUAACUGGUCUGAGAGGAUGAUCAGUCACACUGGAACUGAGACACGGUCCAGACUCCUACGGGAGGCAGCAGUGGGGAAUAUUGGACAAUGGGCGAAAGCCUGAUCCAGCCAUGCCGCGUGUGUGAAGAAGGUCUUCGGAUUGUAAAGCACUUUAAGUUGGGAGGAAGGGCAGUAAGUUAAUACCUUGCUGUUUUGACGUUACCAACAGAAUAAGCACCGGCUAACUUCGUG
Molecule: ribosomal RNA, 484 nt
Filed under: uncultured bacterium
Lineage: Bacteria
Description: partial 16S ribosomal RNA
Rfam family: Bacterial small subunit ribosomal RNA
Source: RNAcentral